Molecule: transfer RNA, 130 nt
Filed under: Candidatus Woesearchaeota archaeon
Lineage: Archaea; Nanobdellati; Candidatus Woesearchaeota
Description: tRNA-OTHER
Source: RNAcentral
AGCGGGGUAGGGAAGCUAGGAGUACCCGAUGAAUUGGAUAAAUAAAAUUUAUCUUAUGCGGAAGGCUCAUAAGACUCUUAGUAUGUCCUUGGACACCCAUAGAUCGGAGGUUCAAAUCCUCCCCCCGCUA